CCUACGGGGGGCAGCAGUGGGGAAUAUUGCACAAUGGGCGCAAGCCUGAUGCAGCCAUGCCGCGUGUAUGAAGAAGGCCUUCGGGUUGUAAAGUACUUUCAGCGGGGAGGAAGGUGUUGUGGUUAAUAACCACAGCAAUUGACGUUACCCGCAGAAGAAGCACCGGCUAACUCCGUGCCAGCAGCCGCGGUAAUACGGAGGGUGCACGCGUUAAUCGGAAUUACUGGGCGUAAAGCGCACGCAGGCGGUCGGUCAAGUCGGAUGUGGAAUCCCCGGGCUCAACCUGGGAACUGCAUUCGAAACUGGCAGGCUAGAGUCUUGUAGAGGGGGGUAGAAUUCCAGGUGUAGCGGUGAAAUGCGUAGAGAUCUGGAGGAAUACCGGUGGCGAAGGCGGCCCCCUGGACAAAGACUGACGCUCAGGUGCGAAAGCGUGGGGAGCAAACAGGAUUAGAUACCCGAGUAGUCA
This 466-nucleotide ribosomal RNA is filed under the name uncultured Aeromonadaceae bacterium. RNAcentral describes it as "bacterial SSU rRNA". It matches the Rfam family "Bacterial small subunit ribosomal RNA", at positions 338 to 796 of the family's 1533-position model. The record is from RNAcentral. Lineage: Bacteria; Pseudomonadati; Pseudomonadota; Gammaproteobacteria; Aeromonadales; Aeromonadaceae.